UGAGGAACAUGACUUUCGGUGGGGGAGUAGCCGGCCCAACGGCCGGGUAAUACCGCGUACGACCUUUUGGGGUACGAUCCCCGACGGGGUGGAAAGCAGCAAUGCGCCGAAAGAGUGCCUCGCGGCCUAUCAGCUAGUUGGUGGGGUAAUGGCUCACCAAGGCGACGACGGAUAACCGGCCUGAGAGGGCGACCGGUCACACUGGGACUGAGACACGGCCCAGACUCCUACGGGAGGCAG
RNAcentral lists this ribosomal RNA (240 nucleotides) under uncultured bacterium. RNAcentral describes it as "partial 16S ribosomal RNA". It matches the Rfam family "Bacterial small subunit ribosomal RNA", at positions 118 to 351 of the family's 1533-position model. The record is from RNAcentral.